GGGGAAUAUUGGACAAUGGGGGAAACCCUGAUCCAGCGACGCCGCGUGAGUGAAGAAGUAUUUCGGUAUGUAAAGCUCUAUCAGCAGGGAAGAUAAUGACAGUACCUGACUAAGAAGCCCCGGCUAACUACGUGCCAGCAGCCGCGGUAAUACGUAGGGGGCAAGCGUUAUCCGGAUUUACUGGGUGUAAAGGGAGCGUAGGUGGCAUGGCAAGUCAGAAGUGAAAGCCCAGGGCUCAACCCUGGGACUGCUUUUGAAACUGUCAAGCUAGAGUGCAGGAGAGGUAAGUGGAAUUCCUAGUGUAGCGGUGAAAUGCGUAGAUAUUAGGAGGAACACCAGUGGCGAAGGCGGCUUACUGGACUGUAACUGACACUGAGGCUCGAAAGCGUGGGGAGCAAAC
RNAcentral lists this ribosomal RNA (400 nucleotides) under uncultured bacterium. Its description in RNAcentral is "bacterial SSU rRNA". It matches the Rfam family "Bacterial small subunit ribosomal RNA", at positions 356 to 773 of the family's 1533-position model. The record is from RNAcentral.